AGCUUCAAUUCAGCUUUACUCUAGUUUAGGGUUAAAGAAUUACAACUAAAACACCUUCUUUACAGCUGCUACGAGCUUCCCCAACUCAGCUGGCAGCAAGGAAGCAAAACACAAUCUCAAAUGCACUACUAUAGCAUCAAACUAGAGAGAAAGGUUGGCUAGUCACCUUGUACAGCUUCAACUCAGUUUCUACUGAGUUAAGGUUGAAGAAACAUAGUAAAACCUCACUUCCCACGCUUCCAUAGCUAGCCCCCAAGUCUUCAAACCAGUUAGCAACAAGAGAGGAAAAGAAACCAUGCUCAAAUCACUAGUUUUCAACUUCAAAAUGGAAAACCUAGAGAGAGAAAGAGAGAGAAAGGCUCACCCCUGUUCUCUGAGCUCCAACAUUGUCAAGCCCCGAGCCCCGCCUAUUUGGUCAGGUUCGGGCACGCCGACAGACCGCCGAAAGGACAGAGUCUCCCCUGUACGUCCUAGGCGUCGCAAUUAGUACAAUACAAGAGGUUCCAAAUAGGAACAGUAUUCAUACAAUGAUUGCAUAAGGAAGGUAUCGAACAACAUAACACAUCCUAUAUUAUUACAAGGAUUCCCAGUAGAUUCAUUUUUACAUCACACUUGCACUAUUACAUUUCAUUUUCAUUACAUUUCAUUUUCAUUACAUUUACUUUCAAAUACAAUCAAUGAUCGCAAGAUUAUUACAAGUUUGUUCUUUGUCCUUUCCCUCCACCUCUAGGCUAUGCCAACUCAGGGUACCACUAUCUCUGGUCUCUGGGGUAGGGCGCUAUCUAUGGAGCUACACCCUUUCCUCGCGCCGCCGCGCCGCUUACGUACAAACCUGUAACACCGCAAAAUAACGUGGGGUGAGAACCAACUCCAUAGUUCCCAGUGGGUACGGCCACCCAAGGGAAAAGCUCGACCAAUAAGUCCAAGGA
Molecule: long non-coding RNA, 929 nt
Filed under: Ananas comosus (pineapple)
Lineage: Eukaryota; Viridiplantae; Streptophyta; Magnoliopsida; Poales; Bromeliaceae
Description: long non-coding RNA (ACOM_LNC037187)
Source: RNAcentral